RNAcentral lists this unclassified non-coding RNA (495 nucleotides) under uncultured Glomeromycotina. Its description in RNAcentral is "SSU rRNA". It matches the Rfam family "Eukaryotic small subunit ribosomal RNA", at positions 591 to 1092 of the family's 1831-position model. The record is from RNAcentral. Lineage: Eukaryota; Fungi; Glomeromycota.
CCAAUAGCGUAUAUUAAAGUUGUUGUGGUUAAAAAGCUCGUAGUUGAACCUUGGGCCUGGCUGGCCGGUCCGCCUCACCGCGUGUACUGGUCCGGCCGGGCCUUUCCCUCUGUGGAACCCCAUGCCCUUCACUGGGCGUGGCGGGGAAACAGGACUUUUACUUUGAAAAAAUUAGAGUGCUCCAGGCAGGCCUAUGCUCGAAUACAUUAGCAUGGAAUAAUAUAAUAGGACGUGCGGUUCUAUUUUGUUGGUUUCUAGGACCGCCGUAAUGAUUAAUAGGGACAGUCGGGGGCAUCAGUAUUCAAUUGUCAGAGGUGAAAUUCUUGGAUUUAUUGAAGACUAACUACUGCGAAAGCAUUUGCCAAGGAUGUUUUCAUUAAUCAGGAACGAAAGUUAGGGGAUCGAAGACGAUCAGAUACCGUCGUAGUCUUAACCAUAAACUAUGCCGACUAGGGAUCGGACGAUGUUACUUAUUGACUCGUUCGGCACCUUACG